GGGUUGUGAGGUUAAGCGACCAAGCGUACACGGUGGAUGCCCUGGCAGUCAGAGGCGAUGAAGGACGUGCUAAUCUGCGAUAAGCGCCGGUAAGGUGAUAUGAACCGUUAUAACCGGCGAUUUCCGAAUGGGGAAACCCAGUGUGAUUCGUCACACUAUCAUUAACUGAAUCCAUAGGUUAAUGAAGCGAACCGGGGGAACUGAAACAUCUAAGUACCCCGAGGAAAAGAAAUCAACCGAGAUUCCCCCAGUAGCGGCGAGCGAACGGGGAGGAGCCCAGAGCCUGAAUCAGCAUGUGUGUUAGUGGAAGCGUCUGGAAAGGCGCGCGAUACAGGGUGACAGCCCCGUACACAAAAGCGCAUGUGCUGUGAGCUCGAUGAGUAGGGCGGGACACGUGGUAUCCUGUCUGAAUAUGGGGGGACCAUCCUCCAAGGCUAAAUACUCCUGACUGACCGAUAGUGAACCAGUACCGUGAGGGAAAGGCGAAAAGAACCCCGGCGAGGGGAGUGAAACAGAACCUGAAACCGUGUACGUACAAGCAGUGGGAGCACAGGUUUACCUGUGUGACUGCGUACCUUUUGUAUAAUGGGUCAGCGACUUAUAUUCUGUAGCAAGGUUAACCGCAUAGGGGAGCCGAAGGGAAACCGAGUCUUAAUUGGGCGUUAAGUUGCAGGGUAUAGACCCGAAACCCGGUGAUCUAGCCAUGGGCAGGUUGAAGGUUGGGUAACACUAACUGGAGGACCGAACCGACUAAUGUUGAAAAAUUAGCGGAUGACCUGUGGCUGGGGGUGAAAGGCCAAUCAAACCGGGAGAUAGCUGGUUCUCCCCGAAAGCUAUUUAGGUAGCGCCUCGUGAACUCAUCUCCGGGGGUAGAGCACUGUUUCGGCUAGGGGGCCAUCCCGGCUUACCAACCCGAUGCAAACUGCGAAUACCGGAGAAUGUUAUCACGGGAGACACACGGCGGGUGCUAACGUCCGUCGUGAAGAGGGAAACAACCCAGACCGCCAGCUAAGGUCCCAAAGUCAUGGUUAAGUGGGAAACGAUGUGGGAAGGCCCAGACAGCCAGGAUGUUGGCUUAGAAGCAGCCAUCAUUUAAAGAAAGCGUAAUAGCUCACUGGUCGAGUCGGCCUGCGCGGAAGAUGUAACGGGGCUAAACCAUGCACCGAAGCUGCGGCAGCGACGCUUAUGCGUUGUUGGGUAGGGGAGCGUUCUGUAAGCCGUUGAAGGUGGCCUGUGAGGGUUGCUGGAGGUAUCAGAAGUGCGAAUGCUGACAUAAGUAACGAUAAAGCGGGUGAAAAGCCCGCUCGCCGGAAGACCAAGGGUUCCUGUCCAACGUUAAUCGGGGCAGGGUGAGUCGACCCCUAAGGCGAGGCCGAAAGGCGUAGUCGAUGGGAAACGGGUUAAUAUUCCCGUACUUGGUGUUACUGCGAAGGGGGGACGGAGAAGGCUAUGUUGGCCGGGCGACGGUUGUCCCGGUUUAAGCGUGUAGGCUGACUUUCCAGGCAAAUCCGGAGAGUCAAGGCUGAGGCGUGACGACGAGGCACCACGGUGCUGAAGCAACAAAUGCCCUGCUUCCAGGAAAAGCCUCUAAGCAUCAGGUAACAUCAAAUCGUACCCCAAACCGACACAGGUGGUCAGGUAGAGAAUACCAAGGCGCUUGAGAGAACUCGGGUGAAGGAACUAGGCAAAAUGGUGCCGUAACUUCGGGAGAAGGCACGCUGACAUGUAGGUGAAGUGGUUUACCCAUGGAGCUGAAGUCAGUCGAAGAUACCAGCUGGCUGCAACUGUUUAUUAAAAACACAGCACUGUGCAAACACGAAAGUGGACGUAUACGGUGUGACGCCUGCCCGGUGCCGGAAGGUUAAUUGAUGGGGUCAGCGCAAGCGAAGCUCCUGAUCGAAGCCCCGGUAAACGGCGGCCGUAACUAUAACGGUCCUAAGGUAGCGAAAUUCCUUGUCGGGUAAGUUCCGACCUGCACGAAUGGCGUAAUGAUGGCCAGGCUGUCUCCACCCGAGACUCAGUGAAAUUGAACUCGCUGUGAAGAUGCAGUGUACCCGCGGCAAGACGGAAAGACCCCGUGAACCUUUACUAUAGCUUGACACUGAACAUUGAGCCUUGAUGUGUAGGAUAGGUGGGAGGCUUUGAAGCGUGGACGCCAGUCUGCGUGGAGCCGGCCUUGAAAUACCACCCUUUAAUGUUUGAUGUUCUAACGUGGACCCGUGAUCCGGGUUGCGGACAGUGUCUGGUGGGUAGUUUGACUGGGGCGGUCUCCUCCUAAAGAGUAACGGAGGAGCACGAAGGUUGGCUAAUCCUGGUCGGACAUCAGGAGGUUAGUGCAAUGGCAUAAGCCAGCUUGACUGCGAGCGUGACGGCGCGAGCAGGUGCGAAAGCAGGUCAUAGUGAUCCGGUGGUUCUGAAUGGAAGGGCCAUCGCUCAACGGAUAAAAGGUACUCCGGGGAUAACAGGCUGAUACCGCCCAAGAGUUCAUAUCGACGGCGGUGUUUGGCACCUCGAUGUCGGCUCAUCACAUCCUGGGGCUGAAGUAGGUCCCAAGGGUAUGGCUGUUCGCCAUUUAAAGUGGUACGCGAGCUGGGUUUAGAACGUCGUGAGACAGUUCGGUCCCUAUCUGCCGUGGGCGCUGGAGAACUGAGGGGGGCUGCUCCUAGUACGAGAGGACCGGAGUGGACGCAUCACUGGUGUUCGGGUUGUCAUGCCAAUGGCACUGCCCGGUAGCUAAAUGCGGAAGAGAUAAGUGCUGAAAGCAUCUAAGCACGAAACUUGCCCCGAGAUGAGUUCUCCCUGAGACUUUGAGUCUCCUGAAGGAACGUUGAAGACGACGACGUUGAUAGGCCGGGUGUGUAAGCGCAGCGAUGCGUUGAGCUAACCGGUACUAAUGAACCGUGAGGCUUAACCUUACAACGCCGAAG
RNAcentral lists this ribosomal RNA (2927 nucleotides) under Salmonella enterica subsp. enterica. Its description in RNAcentral is "bacterial LSU rRNA". It matches the Rfam family "Bacterial large subunit ribosomal RNA". RNAcentral also lists the same sequence under 1 other name. Lineage: Bacteria; Pseudomonadati; Pseudomonadota; Gammaproteobacteria; Enterobacterales; Enterobacteriaceae. The record is from RNAcentral.